RNAcentral lists this long non-coding RNA (660 nucleotides) under Fukomys damarensis (Damara mole-rat). Its description in RNAcentral is "lncRNA (ENSFDAG00000030580.1)". Lineage: Eukaryota; Metazoa; Chordata; Mammalia; Rodentia; Bathyergidae. The record is from RNAcentral.
GCUCUGCAUGCAGGAGUCUGAGUCCUUGGGAACAGCCCUUCCUCUGGUUCCAGUUUCCUUUGGGUCAUAAUUGCCUAUCGUUAUAGUUAUAUUAUUAGCACAGCACAAAAUUCUAGAGGACAGAGAAAAUCUAAAAGUCACAGCCCAGUAACAAACUUUUGGGGGUCUCGUCCCCCACCCGCAUCUUUUCCGCUCUGUGCGAGCCUUGUGUAUCCAUCCACUGAGUUUACCGAGCAAUUCCUGCAGGCAAAGGGACGCUGUGCUCUCUCCUGCUGUGGCUGUCACUGAGGUCGAUGCACUCUUUUCUCCAUUCUCCCAAGAAGUCUUUCUAGCAUUAAGACAGCAGCCUGAGCAGCGACUUGGCCUCACACGGGUCUGAUCUGAAGCCACCACCAAGAAGAUCUCUCCGUGUCCACAGAGGACCUGGACCCCGGGCCCCACAGCAGCCAGACAGAGUGACAGCGACAGCAGAUUCAGAUUCCUUGGCCGCAACAGAAACUCGGAGUCCCGAGCCAGGAGCCUCUGCAGAGCAGCAGCGGUUAGGAUCUCACUGCAGACUCAGGAGUGCAGGGCCUGGCCCGGCCCAGCCUCACAAGGUCAGAACCCCACAUCCUCCCUGCUGCGAGGGAGAGAGAGGGCUCAUUUGCCUGGAUGACGCAC